This 125-nucleotide small RNA is filed under the name Marmota monax (woodchuck). Lineage: Eukaryota; Metazoa; Chordata; Mammalia; Rodentia; Sciuridae. The record is from RNAcentral.
GCUGGGCAUGGUGGUGCAUGCCUGUAAUCCCAGUGGCUUGGGAGGAUGAGGCAAAAGGAUUUCAAGUUCAAAGUCAGCCUUAGCAAGUUACAAGCCCUAAGCAACAUAGUGAGACCCUGUCUCAA